CGGUUCAGACCCCUGCCAGCGCCGCUCGUCCAUCUGUGCGCCACUCGGGGCACGCCCACGGGCGCACACAUCCAGGAACGAGCCGCGCGCGUCCCCGCCCUGCAGCAGCUGCCAGCUGCAAUCAGUCACCUGCAAACUUCACACCUGAUGGUAAUGACGGAGCUGCCUUUAUAGACCUGGACAACCUGCCAUCACUGGCCGGAUUAUAGCCAUCUGUACCUGACUCUUCCCGUGUUUCUCCUGGAUCCCCUGUUGUUCCCCUUGCCCCCCCCGGACUGCCUUUUGGAUUCUCGACCCCACGCUUGGACACGUUUUCCCACGGACUUCCGCGUUACUUCACUUCCGUCAACAUUUUGGUAA
This is a long non-coding RNA of Nerophis ophidion (straightnose pipefish), 360 nucleotides long. RefSeq lists it as uncharacterized. The record is from RefSeq and is a predicted model, not a curated record. NCBI's taxonomy places the organism in Eukaryota, Metazoa, Chordata, Actinopteri, Syngnathiformes, Syngnathidae. The transcript is spliced from 2 exons.